UAGUAACUGCGAGUGAAGCGGGAAAAGCUCAAAUUUAAAAUCUGGUGGCUUCUGGUCAUCCGAGUUGUAAUUUAGAGAAGUGUCUUCCGCGCUGGACUGUGCAUAAGUCUCCUGGAAUGGAGCGUCAUAGAGGGUGAGAAUCCCGUCUUUGGCAUGGACCCCAGGGCUUCUGUGAUGCGCUCUCGAAGAGUCGAGUUGUUUGGGAAUGCAGCUCAAAAUGGGUGGUGAACUCCAUCUAAAGCUAAAUAUUGGCGAGAGACCGAUAGCGAACAAGUACCGUGAGGGAAAGAUGAAAAGCACUUUGGAAAGAGAGUGAAACAGUACGUGAAAUUGUUGAAAGGGAAACGCUUGAAGUCAGUCGUGUUGACCGAGACUCAGCCUUGCCUUGGCUUGGUGUACUUCUCGGCUGACAGGUCAGCAUCAAUUUUGAUCCUUGGAUAAUGGCAAGGGAAAGGUGGCACCUUUAUAGGUGUGUUAUAGUCCUCUGUCGCAUACAAGGAUUGGGAUUGAGGAACUCAGCACGCGCCUCAGGGUGUCGGGGCCUUUUGGCUCACGUUACGUGCUUAGGAUGCUGGCGUAAUGGCUUUAAACGACCCGUCUUGAAA
This 605-nucleotide ribosomal RNA is filed under the name Russula cheelii. RNAcentral's name for it is "LSU rRNA". It matches the Rfam family "Eukaryotic large subunit ribosomal RNA", at positions 81 to 659 of the family's 3401-position model. Lineage: Eukaryota; Fungi; Basidiomycota; Agaricomycetes; Russulales; Russulaceae. The record is from RNAcentral.